ACAAAAACACACACUGUUCGCUUUCGUACGUCACAAAACCUUUACCGCGUUUUUAUCCAACUUUUUUCGUAAACAAAGAAGUCCUAUAUUACAAUAGCUGUUAUAUUAUGACAUCAACCGGUUAUAAAAAUUAUUCGGGUCGCUUACGGUACCGAUUGGUAUAUAAUCUGCGAGAUUCGUUUAUCUGUGGCUAUAGAAAGUAAUCAAACCAUAAGCAAUCAUUACUGUAAUGACAAGAUGAAAAAAACUGUACUACUCGUAUUAGCUUUCUUGCAACUAUGUUUAUCAGCCCCAAAAAGCAAGAUAACUGAUCUGGAACAAGGUUAUUUAGAUAAACUGAAUAAACCCUGGUUCGUUCCGCACCCCACGUCCAAAUAUCCCCGAAAAGGUGAAACUCUAUGUAAUGGUAAGCCAUGCAAGCCGAGCGGACCCGCGUGUGAAGAUUGCCAAGUGAAUGUACCUAUUAAAAUUAAUUGGAGAUAAUGUGUCAAAUAAAUUAUUUUUUUUUAGGUUUUUUUUAUUAUUGUUCCUUAUGACGUCUUAGGGCGCAAAUAAAAUCAAUCAGUUGCGAAUUAAGGCAAUGUCAAUGGUU
Zerene cesonia (dogface butterfly) is the source of this 592-nucleotide long non-coding RNA. RefSeq lists it as uncharacterized. The transcript is spliced from 2 exons. The record is from RefSeq and is a predicted model, not a curated record. Lineage: Eukaryota; Metazoa; Arthropoda; Insecta; Lepidoptera; Pieridae.